Molecule: ribosomal RNA, 425 nt
Filed under: uncultured bacterium
Lineage: Bacteria
Description: partial 16S ribosomal RNA
Rfam family: Bacterial small subunit ribosomal RNA
Source: RNAcentral
GUGGGGAAUCUUGCGCAAUGGGCGAAAGCCUGACGCAGCCAUGCCGCGUGAAUGAUGAAGGUCUUAGGAUUGUAAAAUUCUUUCACCGGGGACGAUAAUGACUGUAGCCGGAGAAGAAGCCCCGGCUAACUUCGUGCCAGCAGCCGCGGUAAUACGAAGGGGGCUAGCGUUGCUCGGAUUUACUGGGCGUAAAGGGCGCGUAGGCGGACAUUUAAGUCAGGGGUGAAAUCCCGGGGCUCAACCUCGGAACUGCCUUUGAUACUGGGUGUCUUGAGUAUGAGAGAGGUGUGUGGAACUCCGAGUGUAGAGGUGAAAUUCGUAGAUAUUCGGAAGAACACCAGUGGCGAAGGCGACACACUGGCUCAUUACUGACGCUGAGGCGCGAAAGCGUGGGGAGCAAACAGGAUUAGAAACCCCUGUAGUCC